This 406-nucleotide ribosomal RNA is filed under the name uncultured bacterium. RNAcentral describes it as "partial 16S ribosomal RNA". It matches the Rfam family "Bacterial small subunit ribosomal RNA", at positions 30 to 526 of the family's 1533-position model. The record is from RNAcentral.
AUUGAACGCUGGCGGCAGGCCUAACACAUGCAAGUCGAGCGUGCGGCGGACGGGUGAGUUAUGUUUGGGAAACUGCCUGAUGUAGGGGGUUAACUACUGGAAACGGUAGCUAAUACUGCUUACUAUCAGAUGUGCCCAGAUCGGAUUAGCUAGUUGGUGGGGUAAGGGCUCACCUAGGCGACGAUCCCUAGCUGGUCUGAGAGGAUGACCAGCCACACUGGGACGAAGACACGGUCCAGACUCCUACGGGAGGCAGCGGUGGGGAGUAUUGCACAAUGGGCGCAAGCCUGAUGCAGCCAUGCCGCGAGUGUGAAGAGGGCCUUCGGGUUGUAAAGCACUUUCAGCGAGGAGGCGUUACUCGCCGAGGAAGCACCGGCUAACUCCGUGCCAGCAGCCGCGGUAAUAC